This 404-nucleotide ribosomal RNA is filed under the name Brucella melitensis. Its description in RNAcentral is "partial 16S ribosomal RNA". It matches the Rfam family "Bacterial small subunit ribosomal RNA", at positions 355 to 776 of the family's 1533-position model. Lineage: Bacteria; Pseudomonadati; Pseudomonadota; Alphaproteobacteria; Hyphomicrobiales; Brucellaceae. RNAcentral also lists the same sequence under 2 other names. The record is from RNAcentral.
UGGGGAAUAUUGGACAAUGGGCGCAAGCCUGAUCCAGCCAUGCCGCGUGAGUGAUGAAGGCCCUAGGGUUGUAAAGCUCUUUCACCGGUGAAGAUAAUGACGGUAACCGGAGAAGAAGCCCCGGCUAACUUCGUGCCAGCAGCCGCGGUAAUACGAAGGGGGCUAGCGUUGUUCGGAUUUACUGGGCGUAAAGCGCACGUAGGCGGACUUUUAAGUCAGGGGUGAAAUCCCGGGGCUCAACCCCGGAACUGCCUUUGAUACUGGAAGUCUUGAGUAUGGUAGAGGUGAGUGGAAUUCCGAGUGUAGAGGUGAAAUUCGUAGAUAUUCGGAGGAACACCAGUAGCGAAGGCGGCUCACUGGACCAUUACUGACGCUGAGGUGCGAAAGCGUGGGGAGCAAACAGG